RNAcentral lists this ribosomal RNA (160 nucleotides) under Myrtus communis. RNAcentral's name for it is "5.8S ribosomal RNA". It matches the Rfam family "5.8S ribosomal RNA". Rfam says of the family: 5.8S ribosomal RNA (5.8S rRNA) is a component of the large subunit of the eukaryotic ribosome. It is transcribed by RNA polymerase I as part of the 45S precursor that also contains 18S and 28S rRNA. The record is from RNAcentral. RNAcentral also lists the same sequence under 1 other name. Lineage: Eukaryota; Viridiplantae; Streptophyta; Magnoliopsida; Myrtales; Myrtaceae.
AUAACGACUCUCGGCAACGGAUAUCUCGGCUCUCGCAUCGAUGAAGAACGUAGCGAACUGCGAUACUUGGUGUGAAUUGCAGAAUCCCGUGAACCAUCGAGUCUUUGAACGCAAGUUGCGCCCGAAGCCAUUUGGCCGAGGGCACGUUUGCCUGGGUGUC